GACCUACCGAACUUAGUUAUAGCUGGUUAUCCGAGAAAUGAAUAGAAGUUCAGCCUCCCGGCUUCUCCAUUCACCAGAUUCCAAACGAUGAAAAGAAACCAGGAGAGUUAGUCAAAGGGGGGACAGCCCCUUUGAGCAAGAUACAACUUUACCAGGAGGUUAAAGAUUAUACUCACCAAGGAAAAAUGCCCAAGUAGGCCUAAAAGCAGCCACCACAGCAGAAAGCGUUAAAGCUCAGACAUACUCACACCUCUUAUCCUAAUAAUUAAAUCUCAACCCCCUAAACCUAACGGAUUACUCCAUGCAACCAUGGAAGAAAUUAUGCUAAUAUGAGUAAUAAGAGAGCACUCAAUCUCUCUCCAAGCAUCUGUGUAAAUCGGAACGGACAACCCACCGAAUAUUAACGGCCCCAACCACAGAGGGUAAUGAACAUUAAUAUUACUCACUAGAAAAUCACCCACCAACCAACCGUUAACCUCACACUAGUGUGCCAAUAAGGAAAGACUAAAAGAAAAAGAAGGAACUCGGCAAACACCCACAAGCCUCGCCUGUUUACCAAAAACAUCGCCUCUUGCAAACUUAACGUAUAAGAGGUCCCGCCUGCCCCGUGACACCCAAGUUCAACGGCCGCGGUAUCCUGACCGUGCAAAGGUAGCGCAAUCACUUGUCUUUUAAAUGAAGACCUGUAUGAAUGGCAUAACGAGGGCUUAACUGUCUCCUUUUUCAAGUCAAUGAAAUUGAUCUCCCCGUGCAGAAGCGGGGAUAACUACAUAAGACGAGAAGACCCUGUGGAGCUUUAGACACUAGAGUAGCUCUCAUAAACACAUACACACAUAAACUAAAAGAGCCCUGCUCUAACGUCUUCGGUUGGGGCGACCACGGGGAAACAAAUAACCCCCAUGCGGAAUAAGAGUACACCCUCUUAAAAACAAGAGCCACCGCUCUAAAAAACAAAAUCUCUGACCAUAAGAUCCGGCAAUGCCGAUCCACGGACCAAGUUACCCCA
RNAcentral lists this ribosomal RNA (1006 nucleotides) under Macrognathus aculeatus (lesser spiny eel). Its description in RNAcentral is "partial 16S ribosomal RNA". It matches the Rfam family "Bacterial large subunit ribosomal RNA", at positions 827 to 2470 of the family's 2925-position model. The record is from RNAcentral. Lineage: Eukaryota; Metazoa; Chordata; Actinopteri; Synbranchiformes; Mastacembelidae.